Propithecus coquereli (Coquerel's sifaka) is the source of this 1019-nucleotide RNA transcript. It is a transcript of the gene named mitochondrial import inner membrane translocase subunit Tim8 A pseudogene, with no coding region annotated. The transcript has a single exon. The record is from RefSeq and is a predicted model, not a curated record. NCBI's taxonomy places the organism in Eukaryota, Metazoa, Chordata, Mammalia, Primates, Indriidae.
UACUAAAGGAAAAGAAAUCAGUAUAUCAAAAGGAUACCUGCACCCCCUGUUUUUUGCAACACUAUUCACAAUAGCCAAGAUAUGGAAUCAACCUAAGUAUCCACCAACAGAUGAAUGGAUAAGAAAAUGUGAUAGGUGAAGGUCGGUGAGUUGGUGCGGAGUUCAUCUCGGCACGCGUGAUUGGGCCAGGAUGGAUACCUCUUCGUCUUCCUCCGCGGCAGCUUUGGGCGCUGUGGACCCGCAGUUGCAGCAUUUCAUCGAGGUGGAGACCCAUAAGCAACGCUUCCAGCAGCUGGUGCACCAGAUGACCGAACUUUGUUGGGAGAAGUGCAUGGACAAGCCUGGGCCAAAGUUGGACAGUCGGGCUGAGGCCUGUUUUGUGAACUGCGUUGAGCGCUUCAUUGAUACAAGCCAAUUCAUCUUGAAUCGACUGGAACAGACCCAGAAAUCCAAGCCAGUAUUCUCAGAAAGCCUUUCUGACUGAUCUCAGCAUUACCUUUUUGGAAAAAGAAGGUAGUUCAAGAAAUGAAGAGCUGUUGAUGGGAUGAUUGAAGAAAUGGCUAUGGGGAAAUUGGCUCCCAUCUUUUGUCACUCUUGGGACAUCAUGUUAUCUGAGAAAGAACAAAGACCAAUUUGUGUGUGGGGGGGGGGCUUGAGGGUUAUAUGUGUAUUUGGUUGUGUUUUUUAAUGCUAAUCUUGUGAAAAUAAUUGACAGAUGAAUGGAAAACUCUAUUAGAUGUAUGUUACUGUGUGUGGGACUAUGCUUUUCUCAAAGGCCCAUUAACUGCUUCCUGUAAUUUUGAUAGUGGAACUGCUUUCUAUAAUUUGAUAGUGGGACCACAUAGGUAAAAUCUGUCAUUUGGUUGGAUUCAUUUCAGAUUUCUGGGGAGAUCAUUCUAUCUUUAAGAAAGGAUAGCAGUGGGGGAAGGAUAAUUUGGUAUUUAACUGUGGGCCUCCUUAUCUAGUGUUUGACUAUCAAUGUUGGGGAAAAAAGAUCUAUGGAGUGUUCAUACCGUGCA